Molecule: ribosomal RNA, 240 nt
Filed under: uncultured bacterium
Lineage: Bacteria
Description: partial 16S ribosomal RNA
Rfam family: Bacterial small subunit ribosomal RNA
Source: RNAcentral
UGGCCUUGACAUAGUAGAGACUUUCCAGAGAUGGAAAGGUGCCUUCGGGAAUCUACAUACAGGUGCUGCAUGGCUGUCGUCAGCUCGUGUCGUGAGAUGUUGGGUUAAGUCCCGCAACGAGCGCAACCCUUUUCCUUACUUGCCAGCAUUUCGGAUGGGAACUUUAAGGAUACUGCCAGUGACAAACUGGAGGAAGGCGGGGACGACGUCAAGUCAUCAUGGCCCUUACGGCCAGGGCUA